UUAUGGGUAGGGCUUCACACGUCAUACAAUGGUGCAUACAGAGGGUUGCCAACCCGCGAGGGGGAGCUAAUCUCAGAAAAUGCAUCGUAGUCCGGAUCGUAGUCUGCAACUCGACUACGUGAAGCUGGAAUCGCUAGUAAUCGCGGAUCAGAAUGUCGCGGUGAAUACGUUCCCGGGUCUUGUACACACCGCCCGUCAUACCAUGGGAGUGGGUUUUGCCAGAAGCCGUUAGCCUAACCGCAAGG
Molecule: ribosomal RNA, 245 nt
Filed under: uncultured beta proteobacterium
Lineage: Bacteria; Pseudomonadati; Pseudomonadota; Betaproteobacteria
Description: partial 16S ribosomal RNA
Rfam family: Bacterial small subunit ribosomal RNA
Source: RNAcentral